This 496-nucleotide ribosomal RNA is filed under the name uncultured bacterium. RNAcentral describes it as "partial 16S ribosomal RNA". It matches the Rfam family "Bacterial small subunit ribosomal RNA", at positions 29 to 507 of the family's 1533-position model. The record is from RNAcentral.
AUGAACGCUGGCGGCGUGCCUAAUACAUGCAAGUCGAGCGAACAGAUGAGGAGCUUGCUCCUCUGACGUUAGCGGCGGACGGGUGAGUAACACGUGGAUAACCUACCUAUAAGACUGGGAUAACUUCGGGAAACCGGAGCUAAUACCGGAUAAUAUAUUGAACCGCAUGGUUCAAUAGUGAAAGACGGUUUUGCUGUCACUUAUAGAUGGAUCCGCGCCGCAUUAGCUAGUUGGUAAGGUAACGGCUUACCAAGGCAACGAUGCGUAGCCGACCUGAGAGGGUGAUCGGCCACACUGGAACUGAGACACGGUCCAGACUCCUACGGGAGGCAGCAGUAGGGAAUCUUCCGCAAUGGGCGAAAGCCUGACGGAGCAACGCCGCGUGAGUGACGAAGGUCUUCGGAUCGUAAAACUCUGUUAUUAGGGAAGAACAAAUGUGUAAGUAACUAUGCACGUCUUGACGGUACCUAAUCAGAAAGCCACGGCUAACUACGUG